AGUGGGAGCUKARSAWUUUUKUCCGKAGKUAACCUGSGUAAGGAUCRUKGUCGUGACSCUGACCAAAAUAGACSGUGCACGCGUCAUCCAGCCRMGSSGGSGGCGGCACCGUUCGUCGCUCGGCCAAGUCCUCGACAACCUCCUCUCCUCGGAGUGGGGGCUCGGGGUAAAAGAACCCACGACGCCUAAGGCGUCAAGGAACACUGUGCCUAGCCCGGGGACGCGGACGGCUUGCUGGCCGCCCCCCGUGCUGCAAUGCUAUUUAAUCCACACGACUCUCGGCAACGGAUAUCUCGGCUCUCGCAUCGAUGAAGAACGUAGCGAAAUGCGAUACCUGGUGUGAAUUGCAGAAUCCCGCGAACCAUCGAGUCUUUGAACGCAAGUUGCGCCCGAGGCCAUUCGGCUGAGGGCACGCCUGCCUGGGCGUCACGCAAAACACGCUCCCACACCCUCAUCGGGUAGCGGGACGCGGCWUGUGGUYCCCCGUAGCGCAAGCUGCGGUGGGCCGAAGAUAUGGCUGCCGGCGUAUCGUGCCGGACACAGCGCGUGGUGGGCGACCUCGCUUUACUUACCGCAGUGCAUCCGGGGCGUAGCCGACGUGAUGGCCUCUAAGGACCCUUUGAACGGUGCGCACGACGCUCCGACCGCGACCCCAGGUCAGGCGGGACUACCCGCUGAAUUUAAGCAUAUCAAUAAGCGGAGAGG
RNAcentral lists this ribosomal RNA (705 nucleotides) under Agrostis stolonifera. Its description in RNAcentral is "eukaryotic LSU rRNA". Lineage: Eukaryota; Viridiplantae; Streptophyta; Magnoliopsida; Poales; Poaceae. The record is from RNAcentral.